GUGGGGAAUAUUGGGCAAUGGGGGAAACCCUGACCCAGCAACGCCGCGUGAAGGAAGAAGGUUUUCGGAUCGUAAACUUCUAUCCUUGGUGAAGAUAAUGACGGUAGCCAAGAAGGAAGCCCCGGCUAACUACGUGCCAGCAGCCGCGGUAAUACGUAGGGGGCAAGCGUUGUCCGGAAUGAUUGGGCGUAAAGGGCGCGUAGGCGGCCUGGUAAGUCUGGAGGGAAAGUCCUGCUUUUAAGGUGGGAAUUGCUUUGGAUACUGUCGGGCUUGAGUGCAGGAGAGGUAAGCGGAAUUCCCGGUGUAGCGGUGAAAUGCGUAGAGAUCGGGAGGAACACCAGUGGCGAAGGCGGCUUACUGGACUGUAACUGACGCUGAGGCGCGAAAGUGUGGGGAGCAAACAGGAUUAGAAACCCGAGUAGUCC
RNAcentral lists this ribosomal RNA (425 nucleotides) under uncultured bacterium. RNAcentral's name for it is "partial 16S ribosomal RNA". It matches the Rfam family "Bacterial small subunit ribosomal RNA", at positions 354 to 796 of the family's 1533-position model. The record is from RNAcentral.